RNAcentral lists this long non-coding RNA (221 nucleotides) under Musa acuminata (dwarf banana). RNAcentral describes it as "long non-coding RNA (MACU_LNC000160)". Lineage: Eukaryota; Viridiplantae; Streptophyta; Magnoliopsida; Zingiberales; Musaceae. The record is from RNAcentral.
UCAGAUUUUGAGAUUUCACGCAUCUUGACGUCCUCUGUCGGCUUAGCCCCCUUGGAGAAUCACACCGUGUGCGUGAGCUACUACUACCCUCAUGUGGAGGGACCCACACUCGUGGGCCCACCAUACAUCAUCUUUGCGCUAGAGUCGGAAGGAUCCCCUCCAACUCCUCAUCUCUCUGAGAUCCGACUACACACCGACAGAGCGGUGAUGGGAGAGUAGAU